GCCCUCUUGGCUCAGUUGGCUAGAGCGCAGGUCUCAUAACUAUUAUGAGAGGUUGAAUGACCUUCCAAUCCUGAGGUCGCAAGUUCGAGCCUUGCAGAGGGCA
RNAcentral lists this transfer RNA (103 nucleotides) under Amanita muscaria Koide BX008. It matches the Rfam family "tRNA". From Rfam's summary of the family: Transfer RNA (tRNA) molecules are approximately 80 nucleotides in length. Their secondary structure includes four short double-helical elements and three loops (D, anti-codon, and T loops). The record is from Rfam by way of RNAcentral. Lineage: Eukaryota; Fungi; Basidiomycota; Agaricomycetes; Agaricales; Amanitaceae.